CCCGCUGAACUUAAGCAUAUCAAUAAGCGGAGGAAAAGAAACCAACAGGGAUUGCCUCAGUAACUGCGAGUGAAGCGGCAAAAGCUCAAAUUUGAAAUCUGGUACCUCUGGGUGCUCGAGUUGUAAUUUGGAGAGGCAACUUCGGAGGGGGCGCUGGCCUAAGUUCCUUGGAACAGGACGUCACAGAGGGUGAGAAUCCCGUGCUUGGCUGGCUGUCCUCCUUCAUGUGAAGUGUCUUCGACGAGUCGAGUUGUUUGGGAAUGCAGCUCAAAAUGGGUGGUAAAUUCCAUCUAAAGCUAAAUAUUGGCGAGAGACCGAUAGCGAACAAGUACAGUGAUGGAAAGAUGAAAAGAACUUUGAAAAGAGAGUGAAAAAGUACGUGAAAUUGUUGAAAGGGAAGGGCUUGAAAUCAGACUUGGUAUUCAAUGAUCAAUUUUCUUUCGGGGAGAUGCACUCGUUGUUUACUGGGCCAACAUCGAUUUAGACGGUGAGAUAAUGACAGUUGAAUGUGGCUUGCUUCGGUAAGUGUUAUAGCUUCUGUUGAUAUCAUCAGUUUGGAUCGAGGACUGCGCAUUUUUGCUAGGAUGUUGGCGUAAUGAUUUUAAGCCACCCGUCUUGAAACACGG
Molecule: ribosomal RNA, 626 nt
Filed under: uncultured fungus
Lineage: Eukaryota; Fungi
Description: eukaryotic LSU rRNA
Rfam family: Eukaryotic large subunit ribosomal RNA
Source: RNAcentral